GACGAACGCUGGCGGCGUGCUUAACACAUGCAAGUCGAACGGAAAGGCCCCUUUGGGGGUACUCGAGUGGCGAACGGGUGAGUAACACGUGAGUAACCUGCCCUUGACUUCGGGAUAACUUCAGGAAACUGGGUCUAAUACCGGAUAGGAAUCCUUGCUGCAUGGUGGGGGUUGGAAAGCUUCGGCGGUUUUGGAUGGACUCGCGGCUUAUCAGCUUGUUGGUGGGGUAGUGGCUUACCAAGGCGUUGACGGGUAGCCGGCCUGCGAGGGCGACCGGCCACAUUGGGACUGAGAUACGGCCCAGACUCCUACGGGAGGCAGGAGUGGGGAAUAUUGCACAAUGGGCGGAAGCCUGAUGCAGCAACGCCGCGUGCGGGAUGACGGCCUUCGGGUUGUAAACCGCUUUCAGCAGGGGCGAAGCUUGUGGUGACGGUACCUGCAGAAGAAGCACCGGCUAACUACGUG
This 465-nucleotide ribosomal RNA is filed under the name uncultured bacterium. RNAcentral describes it as "partial 16S ribosomal RNA". It matches the Rfam family "Bacterial small subunit ribosomal RNA", at positions 28 to 507 of the family's 1533-position model. The record is from RNAcentral.